UUAAAUUGAAGAGUUUGAUCAUGGCUCAGAUUGAACGCUGGCGGCAGGCCUAACACAUGCAAGUCGAACGGUAACAGGAAUCAGCUUGCUGAUUCGCUGACGAGUGGCGGACGGGUGAGUAAUGUCUGGGAAACUGCCUGAUGGAGGGGGAUAACUACUGGAAACGGUAGCUAAUACCGCAUAACGUCGCAAGACCAAAGAGGGGGACCUUCGGGCCU
RNAcentral lists this ribosomal RNA (218 nucleotides) under Escherichia coli. Its description in RNAcentral is "partial 16S ribosomal RNA". It matches the Rfam family "Bacterial small subunit ribosomal RNA", at positions 1 to 215 of the family's 1533-position model. Lineage: Bacteria; Pseudomonadati; Pseudomonadota; Gammaproteobacteria; Enterobacterales; Enterobacteriaceae. The record is from RNAcentral.